GCCCCUGUAGCUCAGUCCGGACAGAGCAGGUGACUUCUAAUCAUCAGGUCGCAGGUUCGAAUCCUGCCGGGGGCG
Molecule: transfer RNA, 75 nt
Filed under: bacterium
Lineage: Bacteria
Description: tRNA-Arg
Rfam family: tRNA
About the family: Transfer RNA (tRNA) molecules are approximately 80 nucleotides in length. Their secondary structure includes four short double-helical elements and three loops (D, anti-codon, and T loops).
Source: RNAcentral